AAAUAUACCCAAAAAAAGUAAAGUUCCAGUAAAAAUACAGUUCCAGGGCACCACUUAACAUAUAAUUUCUAUGUGAUUAAGAUAAUCAAAUACUUAAUAGAUAAUUGCUUAUCUGAGGGUGCAAUAGCUAAAAAACUGCAGCAAUUUUUACUGCAGGGAUUAACUAAAGCCUUUGAUUCAUAUAUUUCAUCCGUCCCUAAUUCUUCAGUCAUUAGCUGAAAAAAUUAACCUAAUAUACAGACAGAUCAGAACUUAACACCAUCAAAAUCAAAAAUUUAACGCACAACACACAACUAUAGACACAAGUGCUGGCGUGAACAAGAUAUCUGCAUAUACAUAUAUAUAUGUCUGUGGCAUGCAUGCGCGAGCCUUCAUGUAUGAACAAGCGUAUUACGUAUAUACCAAGAUAGAGGAGUUUUUGAGCGGUUUCAUUGGGAUCCAUACUGCACUCCUUGAGCAUUGCAUAAAUAUCCUCAUCGCUGUGCUCUCCGGCUAUCUCCUUGAUGUCCUGGAUCGUCUUCUUCAGAUUGUUAGGAAUCGAAACCCUAGAAGCGCCGCUCAUUGUUUCUCCAACGAAUGCAAGGCCGAAAUCGAUAAAAUUAACAAUUGUAAGAUCACAAAACGGAAAAAUCAAUUAUGAAAUCGACAUUAUUGUUACGAAUGCAGAGAAGCAUGAACAGUGAAGCGAGCAGAGAGAGACGGAGGAGAGGAUUGUAUGACACAAAUAGGGGAUUUUGAGAGAGAAAAUAGGGACUGACUACGCAUGGAAAGAUUUUGAAUUGAAUAUUUAAGUAAUGGAGGAUCGACAAAUUCAUCGCUAUGGUGUUGCGGAAAUUGGAAAAAGGAGUAGAG
This 852-nucleotide long non-coding RNA is filed under the name Olea europaea subsp. europaea. Lineage: Eukaryota; Viridiplantae; Streptophyta; Magnoliopsida; Lamiales; Oleaceae. The record is from RNAcentral.